This 277-nucleotide small RNA is filed under the name marine eukaryotic metagenome. Its description in RNAcentral is "5' ureB small RNA". It matches the Rfam family "5' ureB small RNA". The record is from RNAcentral.
CUUGUUGUGGGCAAAUCCAGUGUAUAUGCGCGUCGAUGCCGCCAGCAGUAACGAUCCGCCCUUCACCAGCUAUAGCCUCGGUUCCAGGACCAAUAAUAAUGUCUGUUCCCGGUUGAACAUCCGGAUUGCCGGCCUUACCUACCGCAGUGAUUUUGCCAUCUUUAAUACCAAUGUCGGCCUUUACUAUACCCCAAUGAUCAACAAUUAAUGCAUUAGUGAUAACCGUAUCCACGGCACCCCCAGCGCGUGUCACCUGGGAUUGCCCCAUGCCAUCACG